UUCGGGGGACAGGGUGACAGGUGGUGCAUGGUUGUCGUCAGCUCGUGUCGUGAGAUGUUGGGUUAAGUCCCGCAACGAGCGCAACCCUCGACCUUAGUUGCCAGCAUUCAGUUGGGCACUCUAAGGUGACUGCCGGCUAAAAGUCGGAGGAAGGUGGGGAUGACGUCAAAUCAUCAUGCCCCUUAUGACCUGGGCUACACACGUGCUACAAUGGGCGGUACAAAGGGUCGCGAACCCGCGAGGGGGAGCCAAUCCCAAAAAGCCGCUCCCAGUUCGGAUUGCAGGCUGCAACUCGCCUGCAUGAAGCCGGAAUCGCUAGUAAUCGCGGAUCAGCAUGCCGCGGUGAAUACGUUCCCGGGCCUU
This 363-nucleotide ribosomal RNA is filed under the name uncultured Anoxybacillus sp. RNAcentral's name for it is "bacterial SSU rRNA". It matches the Rfam family "Bacterial small subunit ribosomal RNA", at positions 1018 to 1382 of the family's 1533-position model. Lineage: Bacteria; Bacillati; Bacillota; Bacilli; Caryophanales; Anoxybacillaceae. The record is from RNAcentral.